RNAcentral lists this ribosomal RNA (505 nucleotides) under uncultured bacterium. RNAcentral's name for it is "partial 16S ribosomal RNA". It matches the Rfam family "Bacterial small subunit ribosomal RNA", at positions 28 to 507 of the family's 1533-position model. The record is from RNAcentral.
GACGAACGCUGGCGGCGUGCCUAAUACAUGCAAGUAGAACGCACAGUUUAUACCGUAGCUUGCUACACCAUAAACUGUGAGUUGCGAACGGGUGAGUAACGCGUAGGUAACCUGCCUGGUAGCGGGGGAUAACUAUUGGAAACGAUAGCUAAUACCGCAUAAUAUUGAUUAUUGCAUGAUAAUUGAUUGAAAGAUGCUAUUGCAUCACUACCAGAUGGACCUGCGUUGUAUUAGCUAGUAGGUGAGGUAACGGCUCACCUAGGCGACGAUACAUAGCCGACCUGAGAGGGUGAUCGGCCACACUGGGACUGAGACACGGCCCAUACUCCUACGGGAGGCAGCAGUAGGGAAUCUUCGGCAAUGGACGAAAGUCUGACCGAGCAACGCCGCGGGAGUGAAGAAGGUUUUCGGAUCGUAAAGCUCUGUUGUAAGAGAAGAACGGGUGUGAGAGUGGAAAGUUCACACUGUGACGGUAUCUUACCAGAAAGGGACGGCUAACUACGUG